UUACGGCCACAUCACUUUGAAGCACCGGUUCCCGUACGAUCACUAAAGUUAAGCAACGUCGAGUUGGUAUCUAGAUUGGUGACCGCUUGGGAAUACCAGAUGUUAUA
Molecule: non-coding RNA, 107 nt
Organism: Acanthosepion pharaonis
Lineage: Eukaryota; Metazoa; Mollusca; Cephalopoda; Sepiida; Sepiidae
Source: the annotation of a GenBank genome assembly